GAAGGACAUCGUCACACUUGCAUUUUGAAAAUAUUCUGGUUGCAAAAUGGAGAUUGGAGGGAGGCAAGAGUGAAGGCAGCAAGACCAGUCAAGAUAUGAUAGAGCUUCGUGUAUCUGUUGUCUGUUUUCUGUAUCUAAAUAUAGACAGAGAGACCAAGAUAGAGACCAUAAGAAUUCCAAGUGGCUGCACCAGCUUGCAUUCCCAUCA
Mustela erminea (ermine) is the source of this 208-nucleotide long non-coding RNA. RefSeq lists it as uncharacterized. The transcript is spliced from 3 exons. NCBI's taxonomy places the organism in Eukaryota, Metazoa, Chordata, Mammalia, Carnivora, Mustelidae. The record is from RefSeq and is a predicted model, not a curated record.